CCGCGCUAAGCGGGGAGCUGGCGAUGCCCUGUACCUGCGAUCGCCUAGCAGGGCCUAGAUCCCCGCCCGAGGCGGCCCGGGUUCGGUUGAACCCGGUGCGGUCGGCGUUGAUGGUCCGGUCCCGGGCAAUGGGGCCCCGUGAACCGUGUCAGGGCCGGGAGGCAGCAGCACUAAGCGGGUAACCUUAUGUGCUACGGGGUAGCCGGACCGGAGCUGGCGGCCGGGAGUUCGCCGGGUUCGAGUCCGUCGACGGCGGGGUGCGCGG
This 265-nucleotide signal recognition particle RNA is filed under the name Actinomycetota bacterium. Its description in RNAcentral is "signal recognition particle sRNA large type". It matches the Rfam family "Bacterial large signal recognition particle RNA". From Rfam's summary of the family: The signal recognition particle (SRP) is a universally conserved ribonucleoprotein involved in the co-translational targeting of proteins to membranes. Archaeal SRP consists of a 7S RNA and homologues of the eukaryotic SRP19 and SRP54 proteins. The record is from RNAcentral. Lineage: Bacteria; Bacillati; Actinomycetota.